Molecule: transfer RNA, 72 nt
Filed under: Camelus bactrianus (Bactrian camel)
Lineage: Eukaryota; Metazoa; Chordata; Mammalia; Artiodactyla; Camelidae
Also listed under: 2 other names
Rfam family: tRNA
About the family: Transfer RNA (tRNA) molecules are approximately 80 nucleotides in length. Their secondary structure includes four short double-helical elements and three loops (D, anti-codon, and T loops).
Source: Rfam by way of RNAcentral
GAGGAUAUAGCUCAGUGGUAGAGUGCAUGCCUAGUAUGCACAAGGUCCUGGGUUCCAUCCCUACUACCUCCA